Molecule: transfer RNA, 67 nt
Filed under: Mytilisepta virgata
Lineage: Eukaryota; Metazoa; Mollusca; Bivalvia; Mytilida; Mytilidae
Description: tRNA-Tyr
Source: RNAcentral
UAAAGUGGCCGAGAUUUUAGGCGGUGGAUUGUAAAUCUUCUAACAGAGUCAUACUCUCUUUAUUAAU